RNAcentral lists this ribosomal RNA (253 nucleotides) under uncultured bacterium. RNAcentral describes it as "partial 16S ribosomal RNA". It matches the Rfam family "Bacterial small subunit ribosomal RNA", at positions 524 to 776 of the family's 1533-position model. The record is from RNAcentral.
UACGGGGGGGGCAAGCGGUGUUCGGAAUUACUGGGCGUAAAGGGCUUGUAGGUGGCCAACUAAGUCAGACGUGAAAUCCCUCGGCUUAACCGGGGAACUGCGUCUGAUACUGGAUGGCUUGAGUGUGGGAGAGGGAUGCGGAAUUCCAGGUGUAGCGGUGAAAUGCGUAGAUAUCUGGAGGAACACCGGUGGCGAAGGCGGCAUCCUGGACCAUUACUGACACUGAGAAGCGAAAGCCAGGGGAGCAAACGGG